AACGAAUACUGUAAAGUGCUCUCUCUCUGUAAGACCGUAUAACAGAAUCUGGUACAACUUGAUACACUGGCCGGCCUUGAGCAGUCUCUUAUUAAAAUUGGCACGAUUCCCAGAAUUUAGUGCUGAAAUCUCUGUUAAGACUUUUCAGCUUGACUACAGAAUAAUGCUGUACUAAUAGAUGUAUGUUAAUAUGCUUGUUUUAAAUGGUAUAGAUUGCUGUGGUAACAUAUAAUCAUAGGUAGUGAUAAUUAUUGUUAGUAUGAAAUACUAUGAACAAUUUUUAUGUAUAAGAUCAUAUGAUUCACUUUGCUUAAUAUGAUAGCAUACCUGAAGCUGUUUUCUAUCAAGAUGAGCAUAGUUAAAAACUGAGUCCUAAUUCAAUGAAAAGAAUUACUGUGUGCUUACAUUCAAGAAUUAUAACUUCUGAAUAUAAAGGGAAAAGGAGUUAGGAGUAUUCUUAAGGGAAAGAGAAAAACAGAAAAGGAUUAAAAGACCUCGCUUUGAGUAGGUUUCUGCUUGUAAUUCAGUUUUAAAAUAAGUAGGUGAGUAAGAACAACCUAGAGUAAAAGCAGACUAUAACUUAAGAAAAAUAAGCAUUGUCAGAAGAUACACCACAAAUAGAGAGCAGAAAAAUUGAAUAAAAUCCUAUUGUAAUAUUGCGGAUAUACUGCUGCUAGCAGAAAGUAAUAAGGUUAGCAGCCAUACGCUAUAAGAAGUAAUGUACUAGUUUGACUCUGAAGUUAAAAGACGCAGCAUAAAAAGAUGUUGUGUUUAAAAUACAAAAUAAAAGGAUUGAAUAAAUAAUGAAGAAUAAAAGCAGGAGAUAGGUUUUAGGAGAGUAAACUCUAUGUGACCUGUCUUCUUGAACUCUCUAUCAGCCUGCCCUUGGAGAAAUUAAUAUUAGCUGCUGGAAGGCCUCUUUGGUGGGAAGAAGCCGGAAUUUUUUUAUCAGAAGGCUUAUAGUAUCGGGCCGGACUGCAAAAAUAGGGAGUUAGAACGGAUGGUCUUAGCACCUAAGAUAGUUAGUUGCCGGGCGGAACAAGCACGUAAGAUACAGGUGUAAGGAAAGUUCUAGGGAACAUUAAUCACUAUUAAACUUGGCAAGAAAAGAGGUGUCUCCAGCAAGCUGGUUUUAGCCAGUAUGUGUAUAGCUGAAAAAUACAGGGUCAUCUGGAUGUCAAUUAAGUUCAAGCUACCAGGGGCCCAUAGGAGAAAAACAUUACAGCUUUACAGCUCAGUAAAAUAGUUAGGUUUUCCAUAAGGAGAAAACUCUACAUUAAAAAGAUAUAAGAUGGAAGUUCCCUAUAAUACCUGCUAAACACACACCUGUAAGGAAAGAAUGAAAUUAAUUUGAGAGUGAGAUGACAUGAGGGAAUAUAUUUUUGAAAGCCAAGUUCAUGUAAUCAAUUAUAAUCAUUAUAACUAUAACUGCUAUAUUAUGAUAUAACUAUUGGUGUUGCAUAUAUUCAAAAAACACCACUUUUCUUAUAUUGGUGUUGCAUAUAUUUAAAACACCACUCCUUUUUAUAAUGCACCCAUAUUAAGUAGUGAAUCAAGGUUGCAGGGAUUUUGUGAACUCUGCUUCACCUAACUUUUCAGAUGAAGGAGGGGGGCCAAGAAUGAGUGGAUGAGAACAUGGGCUAGUGUUGAUUUGUUGACAUAUGACUCUAAUUGAGUCUGAGGAGUUGGUUGAAUUCUUUAGAGAUUACUGUUUGCCAAGAGAUAAGGACUGUCAAUAUAGAUUGAUGACUGGAUCUAAUUGGGGCUUCCCAUUGCUUUCAAUGGGACGAAAAUUGUAUAAAAACCCUGGGCCGAUCACACUGAGACCACCACAAUCAAGCUGGGCAGAGCUAUGUGGUCCAUCCUUUGCAGAUCUCUACAGAACAGUCCUUCUCUUUUGUUCACGCUACUCUUCCUUAUAAUAGGAGAUGUCAGGACUGUGUCAGGACUGCCCAGUCCCUGACCACAUUCCGGCGCCUCCUUAAGACUCACCUCUUCAAAGAGCACCUGUAGAACUCCUCUGUUUGUAUCCUGGGACACUAUCACCCUUCAUCUGCUCCUUUGGGAGUGGAGUUGCGCUGCAAGUGCGUCAAGACGAUUUCAGACUUUAUUCAUCCAAGACAAAUCACUAACAUAAACA
Long non-coding RNA from Acipenser ruthenus (sterlet), 2140 nucleotides. RefSeq lists it as uncharacterized. The record is from RefSeq and is a predicted model, not a curated record. The transcript is spliced from 3 exons. NCBI's taxonomy places the organism in Eukaryota, Metazoa, Chordata, Actinopteri, Acipenseriformes, Acipenseridae.